This 484-nucleotide ribosomal RNA is filed under the name uncultured bacterium. RNAcentral's name for it is "partial 16S ribosomal RNA". It matches the Rfam family "Bacterial small subunit ribosomal RNA", at positions 30 to 507 of the family's 1533-position model. The record is from RNAcentral.
AUUGAACGCUGGCGGCAGGCCUAACACAUGCAAGUCGAGCGGAUGAAGGGAGCUUGCUCCUGCAUUCAGCGGUGGACGGGUGAGUAAUGCCUAGGAAUCUGCCUGGUAGUGGGGGAUAACGUCCGGAUACGGGCGCUAAUACCGCAUCCGUCCUGUGGGCGACAGUGGGGGAUCUUCGGACGUCACGCUAUCAGAUGAGCGUAGGUCGGAUUGGCUCGUAGGUGGGGUAACGGCCUACCAAGGCUACGAUCCGUCACUGGUCUGAGAGGAUGAUCAGUCAGACUGGAUCUGAGACACAGUCCAGACUCCUACGGGAGGAAGCAGUGGGGAAUAUUGGACGAUGGACGAAAGCCUGAUCCAGCCAUGCCGCGUGUAUCAAGAAGGUCUUCGGAUUGUAAAGCACUUAAAGUUGGGAGGAAGGGCAGUAAGUUAAUACCUUACGGUAUUGACGUUACCAACAGAAUAAGCACCGGCUAACUUCGUG